RNAcentral lists this ribosomal RNA (461 nucleotides) under uncultured bacterium. Its description in RNAcentral is "partial 16S ribosomal RNA". It matches the Rfam family "Bacterial small subunit ribosomal RNA", at positions 338 to 795 of the family's 1533-position model. The record is from RNAcentral.
CCUACGGGGGGCUGCAGUGAGGAAUAUUGGUCAAUGGGCUUACGCCUGAACCAGCCAAGUCGCGUGAGGGAAGACUGCCCUAUGGGUUGUAAACCUCUUUUGUCAGGGAGCAACGCCGGCUACGUAUAGCCGGACUGAGAGUACCUGAAGAAAAAGCAUCGGCUAACUCCGUGCCAGCAGCCGCGGUAAUACGGAGGGGGCAAGCGUUAUCCGGAUUUACUGGGUGUAAAGGGAGCGUAGACGGUUAUGUAAGUCUGGAGUGAAAGCCCGGGGCCCAACCCCGGGACUGCUUUGGAAACUGUGUAACUGGAGUACAGGAGGGGCAGGCGGAAUUCCUGGUGUAGCGGUGAAAUGCGUAGAUAUCAGGAGGAACACCGGCGGCGAAGGCGGCCUGCUGGACUGAAACUGACGUUGAGGCUCGAAAGCGUGGGGAGCAAACAGGAUUAGAUACCCUUGUAGUC